RNAcentral lists this ribosomal RNA (373 nucleotides) under uncultured organism. Its description in RNAcentral is "bacterial SSU rRNA". It matches the Rfam family "Bacterial small subunit ribosomal RNA", at positions 526 to 896 of the family's 1533-position model. The record is from RNAcentral.
CGUAGGGUGCAAGCGUUGUCCGGAAUUAUUGGGCGUAAAGGGCUCGUAGGCGGUUUGUCGCGUCGGGAGUGAAAACUCAGGGCUUAACCCUGAGCCUGCUUCCGAUACGGGCAGACUAGAGGUAUGCAGGGGAGAAUGGAAUUCCUGGUGUAGCGGUGAAAUGCGCAGAUAUCAGGAGGAACACCGGUGGCGAAGGCGGUUCUCUGGGCAUUACCUGACGCUGAGGAGCGAAAGUGUGGGGAGCGAACAGGAUUAGAUACCCUGGUAGUCCACACCGUAAACGUUGGGCGCUAGGUGUGGGACUCAUUCCACGAGUUCCGUGCCGCAGCUAACGCAUUAAGCGCCCCGCCUGGGGAGUACGGCCGCAAGGCUA